AACGCACAUUGCGCCCCUUGGUAUUCCAUGGGGCAUGCCUGUUCGAGCGUCAUUUGUACCUUCAAGCUUUGCUUGGUGAUGGGCGUCUUGUCUCGUAAAGAGACUCGCCUUGAAGAUAUUGGCAGCUAGUUAACAUUAGUAAUGCGCAGCACAAUUUGCGUCCUUGCUGUGAAAAUUAGUAUCCAUAAGUAUACCAUUCCACGUUUGACCUCGGAUCAGGUAGGGAUACCCGCUGAACUUAA
RNAcentral lists this unclassified non-coding RNA (242 nucleotides) under uncultured fungus. RNAcentral describes it as "sequence contains ITS2". The record is from RNAcentral. Lineage: Eukaryota; Fungi.